RNAcentral lists this ribosomal RNA (1408 nucleotides) under bioreactor sludge metagenome. RNAcentral describes it as "bacterial LSU rRNA". It matches the Rfam family "Bacterial large subunit ribosomal RNA", at positions 802 to 2321 of the family's 2925-position model. The record is from RNAcentral.
CGAUGAACUGACGGGAGGACUCAAAGUGUAAUCAAACUGGGAGAUAGCUCGUUCUCUCCGAAAUAACUUUAGGGUUAGCCUCGGCAUGCAACUGUUGGGGGUAGAGCGACUGAAUGGCUGUAGGGGCCUACCCGGCUACCUCGGCCAAUCAAACUCCGAAUACCAACAGCCAAGUUCCGGGAGAUAGACCGGGAGUGACAAUAUCCUCGGUCAAAAGGAGAACAAUCCUGAUCGCCAGCUAAGGCCCCAAAUCUCAGCUUAGUUCGAAAGGAAGUCAGAUUGCUGUGACAACCAGGAUGUUGGCUUAGAAGCAGCCAUCAUUUAAAGAGUGCGUAAUAGCUCACUGGUCGAGGAAUCUGGCGCCGAUAAUAAUCGGGAAUAAGCGGAGAGCCGAAGCUGCGGGCACGUAAGUGCGGUAGGAGAGCGUUCCUGUCGGCGUAGAAGGGUAAGCGUAAGCGAGCCUGGAGCGUCAGGAAGUGAAUAUGCGGGCUUAAGUAACGAUAAAGCAGGUGAGAAUCCUGCUCGCCGUAAACCCAAGGAUUCCUGGGGAAGGGAAAUCCGCCCAGGGUGAGCCGGGACCUAAGGCGAGGCCGAAAGGCGUAGUCGAUGGACAUCAGGUUAAUAUUCCUGAGCCGUCGUCGGGAACGGAUUGCAGAGCUCCGCGGGACUGUCAGAUGUCCAGGCCCUUGUGGCCGAUGCGGGGGGACGCAGUCCCUAGAAAAGCCGACGAAUAGCCCGUACCAAAACUGACACAGGUGGGUGAGGCGAAUAGCCUCAGGCGCUCGAGAGAACGGUCGUGAAGGAACUAGGCAACUUAACCCCGUAAGUUCGCGAUAAGGGGGCCCUACCCGCAAGGGAGGGCGCAGAGAAAAGGCUCUGGGAACUGUUUAUCAAAAACACAGCUCUGUGCAAACACGCAAGUGGAUGUAUACAGAGUGACGCUUGCCCAAUGCCGGAAUGUCACGGAAGAAGGUCAGCGCAAGCGAAGCUUUCGACCCAAGCACCGGUCAAUGGCGGCCGUAACUAUGACGGUCCUAAGGUAGCGAAGUUCCUUGUCGGGUAAGUUCCGACGCGCAUGAAUAGCGUAAUCACUGGACCACUGUCUCCACGACCGACUCGGUGAAAUAGUAGUGGCGGUGAAGAUGCCGCCUACCCGCAGCAAGACGGAAAGACCCUAUGGACCUUUACUGUAAGCUCGUAUUGGUCACGAGCAUGAAUUGCGUAGGAUAGGUGGGAGGCUUUGAGGCCCUCGUUUCGGCGAGGGCGGAGCCAACGGUGAAAUACCACCCUGUUCACGUUUGUGGCCUAACCCUGAGUCCCGUGAAUCCGGGCAGGGGACCGUGCGUGCCGGGCAGUUUGACUGGGGCGGUCUCCUCCAAAAAGGUAACGGAGGAGUGCAAAGGUCGGC